Molecule: non-coding RNA, 2971 nt
Organism: Podarcis lilfordi (Lilford's wall lizard)
Lineage: Eukaryota; Metazoa; Chordata; Lepidosauria; Squamata; Lacertidae
Source: the annotation of a GenBank genome assembly
UAUUAUGAUGUGCGCCUGUCACAUUUCUUCCCUCUACCUCAUUUGUGUUCUCCACUGCUGUCAAAAUAUAGCUGUUAAACCCCUUGGGGGCACGGUCCUGUCUGUCUUCUUUUGUUGCUUUCCAAAACGCUUUGUGAUGCGCUUGUGCCCUGUGAAUGCAGGCGCUGAUAUGAUUGAGUUUGCUGUGACUGAGACCCGUCAGGCUUCUCAAAUCAAGCUGCCGAAGUCUACUGCAUAAUUUGCUUCUCAGGCAGCAGUGGGAAAGCCAUAGUUUGGCUUUUAUUUACUUACCUUGGGCAUUUGGGUGGCUUACAACAAGGUUAGAAGCAAGCUGAAAAUAACAGGCAAAAAUGCAUAACCGCAGCAUGAAAAGUAGCAAAGAUGAAAAGGUUAGGACUGAAGCAGGUGGAGAAGCCUGGGAAAACUGAAAGAUACAGCAUCUAAUUCACAAUAGAGCAUCAUCGUCGUCAUCAUCAUCAUCAUCAUCAUCAUCAUCAAUAUAUACAGCCCUUCAUCUGUAAAUCUCAAGGUGGUUCGCAACAUAAAAUUACAACAUAGAAAGGCUAUGUGAGCUGUUCUCAGGAAAGCAUUCUGUAGUUGGGGUGCCACCACCGAGAAGAUCCUUUCGCCCUAAAGGGACAUGGGCCUUGUUCCAUGUGGCACCCAAAAAACAGCUUCAGAAGGAGAUUGUAAGGCCUGCCAUCUGUAGAAGGGGUCCUUCAGCUAAGUUCUGUUUUGGAUGCAGGCCAUUAUUUGUAGUAGCCAUAGAUUACCCGGUUCAAGUAUGACAACAAAUUAUGUUUAGCAUUGACCAGGAAGUUUUUUUGUUUUUUUGUUUUUUGCGGGGAGAGGGGGGACAUACCAGUACUCAAGCAUGUCCCAGAUAGCCAGACCGUGACUGAAUUGGACCAAUAAAGCAUUUUGUGGAUGUGACACUGCCCUCAAAAGCAGAUUGCCUUUCUGUGCUCAAACUCGGGGAAGUAUUCUUGUGAGGCUUGAGAACUGCUGUAGCUCUGUGGUUAAUUUUUGGCAUGUGUGGUGAAGAGGAAAAGGUGUCUGACAAGGCCCUGGAGAGCUGCUGCCAGCCUGUGUAAACAAUACUGAGCUAGAUUGGCCGAUAGUCUGACUUAGUGGGAAAGCAGCUUCCUCCAGUGUUCCUAACUCCUCUCCCCCGUUCUUAAAAUGUGUGUGUUUUUGAGAAAUAUAUUUAAGGUGGCGGAGGAAGGAAACGAUUUCCUAAAUACUAGGCAUACAGAACUUGGCAGAUGCCUUCAGCUAUUAAAGCCAGAGGCACAUGAAACCUCCCUCUCUCCCGGUAUCACCUUUUCAUUUUAAGAUGGGGACCGAUUGGAUAAUAAAAACGAUUUUUCCGUCUCUUGUACACUUUCCCUGACUGACUUGCUUAAUUUAAGGUCUUUUUGGUCAACCCUUCUUCUCUCAGAUACAAAGAGGACCUCAGAUCCUGCCCCCUUCCCUUGCCUUGAGCCACCGAAUGACAAAUGAGCUUGGUGACCCUGUCACUUCCACUUGUGUUCGACAACAAAAACCAACUUCCUGAUUUCCAAAAAACCAUUCUAAGUCUGGAGCGGCCUCCACGCUAUUUCCUGUGCAUGCAGGGGGAGGAACAGUUUUGAAGUUACAUCAGCAGCAGGAGGAGGAAGGAUGUUGGCAUCAUACCGAGCUAUUGUGAACUGUUUUGUGCUGAAGGUGUACCAGGUGUGCAAGGACGAGACCAAGGUGGCCCACUUCAGGUUGCAGGUGACUUAAGGCCGUCUUUUAGAAUAAAAAUAGGUACGUAAUGGGAGGAAUUUGACCAUUCUAAGGGAGAACAUUUCUUCCUUCUGCGCCGGCUAUAGAGUCCUCCAGCCAAUGUUGCGUAGAGGUCAUUGUUGAACUAGAAGUGGAUUUAAGCCAUGAAGUUCACCUUAGGCUAGUCACUGUCCCUCGGCCUAAUCCUGUCUUUUAGGGUGGUUGUGAGCAGUGUUAGAAACUCAGGGUAUAUAAGCUAGGCACCAAAUGGCUCCUUAAAUCAAGGUUGCAGUCGCCAAAAUGGGAGGUCUACUUGCCAUUUUGGAGCAAGACGGCUCUAAAUUUUUAUUUUUCAAAAGAUAGAUUGGCUCUGAUCGAUUCUCAGUUAAACUUCUGGCUAGUUCAGAUGACCACCUUGAGCUAGGUUGGAGAACUUAAAAGGGAAAAGUCACGUGUUCCAGGGAUGGUCCUCAUAUCUGUGGGGACACAGACCAUUCAUAAUGUCAGAAUUGGAGAGGAUUUGAUUUAAAUCAAUCAAUUUAAAUCACGAUUUAAGUCACUAGUCAUUAAGACUUGAUUUAAAUCAUUUUUUUUACAGAAAGACUCAUUCUUGCUGGUGUAAUCUUAAUAUUUACAACCAGAUGAAAGUUUCAUUUUUGGAAUAACAUAGACAGAUACAGUCGUACCUCGGCUCCUGAAUGCUUUGGGAGUUGAAUGUUCUGGCUUCCGAAAGAUCAAAAAUUGGAAGUGAGUGUUCCGGUUUUCGAGCGUUCUUUUGGAAGCUGAAUGUCCUGUAGCCAAUCGGAAGCCACGCUUUGGAAGUCAAACGUUUUGGAAGUCGAAUGGACUUCUGGAAUGGAUUCUGUUCGACUUCCGAGGUAUGACUGUCGUUAUGAAAUUAUUGUGAGGUUUAAUAAGUUAACCGUUUAUAUUUGGACAACUUUUCUGCUGUACUUUAUUGGAAGGAGAAAAAUAACCAUUUCCUUAAUAACAAUUUAAACAAUUUAUUUAACUAAAACAAUAACAUGGAUACAGGAUAUGUAUCCAUGUUUGUUAACUGAUGUGGUUAAAGAAUAAUAAUAAUAAAACCUUACACUGAGUUUCAGCACACAUGAAAGACUUAAAACAAAUCCUUAUUUCCUGAUGAAUAGCCUUUGCACUAUAAUGUAACUUAAGCAGAAAACUAUCUUUAGAAAGAUUUUUCCUCCAGAAGCAUUUUAUU